GAUGAAGAACGCAGCGAAAUGCGAUAAGUAAUGUGAAUUGCAGAAUUCAGUGAAUCAUCGAAUCUUUGAACGCACCUUGCACCCUUUGGUAUUCCGAAGGGUAUGCUCGUUUGAGUGUCAUUGUACUCUCACACUUCUAAUUCCUUUCGGGAUUGGGAGCGGUGGACUUGGGUGUUGCUGCUUUAGUUGUGGCUCACCUCAAAUAAGUUAGUGCAACUCUUGGUUGGACAUAGUACGGCGUGAUAAGUGUCUUCGCCGGCACCUCGCAAGAGGGUGGCCGAUCGGGAGCUCUGUGCUUUCAAACCGUCUUCGGACAAUUUCUGACAACUUGACCUCAAAUCGAGUAGGACUACCCGCUGAACUUAAGCAUAUCAAUAAGCGGAGGA
RNAcentral lists this unclassified non-coding RNA (386 nucleotides) under soil metagenome. Its description in RNAcentral is "partial contains 5.8S ribosomal RNA, internal transcribed spacer 2, and large subunit ribosomal RNA". The stretch from base 1 to 120 matches the Rfam family "5.8S ribosomal RNA", at positions 35 to 154 of the family's 154-position model. The record is from RNAcentral.